GGGUCAGUAGGUUGGUCGUGCCACCGGUACGUACUGGUCUCACUGAUUCCUCCUUCCUGAAGAACCGUAAUGCCAUUAAUUUGGUGUUGCGGGGAAACAGGACUGUUACUUUGAAAAAAUUAGAGUGUUUAAAGCAAGCCAACGCUUGAAUACGUUAGCAUGGAAUAAUGAAAUAGGACGAUCGAUCCUAUUUUGUUGGUUUCUAGGAUUGACGUA
RNAcentral lists this ribosomal RNA (216 nucleotides) under Glomeromycotina sp. RNAcentral's name for it is "partial small subunit ribosomal RNA". The stretch from base 40 to 216 matches the Rfam family "Eukaryotic small subunit ribosomal RNA", at positions 686 to 864 of the family's 1831-position model. Lineage: Eukaryota; Fungi; Glomeromycota. The record is from RNAcentral.